GUCAUUUUUAGUGGGGAACAAACUCAGAAAUUACUAAUACACCUGCGGCAUAUGAUGCCAUUCAUCUAGCAAGAAACGAGAAGCAGGCAAGGCAGGCGUGAAUGAAAACGCUGCCUGCUUCUGUGGGGAACUCACUGGCUCUGGCUGAGAACUGCACAUGACAGGCCUGGUGUGCCCUGCCUCCCCUCAGCUCAGCUCUGAGAUGGAAGUAGGAGCACCUUAAUUAACUGCCGAAGAUCAGGGCUGCUUAUCAAUUCCUGCCAAGCAGAAAGCAUCCUGCUCCUUGAGUCUGCAGCUCUCAGAAGCAUCUUCAGGCUCUCUGGGAAUUCAUCUUUGUAUGCCGGAGACCCAG
This 352-nucleotide long non-coding RNA is filed under the name Homo sapiens (human). Its description in RNAcentral is "HSALNT0378629". Lineage: Eukaryota; Metazoa; Chordata; Mammalia; Primates; Hominidae. The record is from RNAcentral.